CCAAUAGCGUAUAUUAAAGUUGUUGCAGUUAAAAAGCUCGUAGUUGAAUUUCGGGGUUAGUAGGUUGGUCAUGCCUCUGGUAUGUACUGGUCUCACUGAUUCCUCCUUCCUGAUGAACCGUAAUGCCAUUAAUUUGGUGUUGCGGGGAAUUUGGACUGUUACUUUGAAAAAAUUAGAGUGUUUCAAGCAAGCUAACGCUUGAAUACAUUAGCAUGGAAUAAUGAAAUAGGAUGCUCGAUCCUAUUUGGUUGGUUUCUAGGAUUGACGUAGUGAUUAAUAGGGAUAGUUGGGGCAUGAGUAUCCAAUUGUCAGAGGUGAAAUUCUUGAAUUUAUUGAAGACUAACUACUGCGAAAGCAAUUGCCAAGAAUGUUUUCAUUUAUCAAGAACGAAAGUUAGGGGAUCGAAGACGAUCAGAUACCGUCGUAGUCUUAACCAUAAACUAUGCCGACUAGGGAUCGGAUGAUGUUAAUUUUUUAAUGACUCAUUCGGCGCCUUACG
This 499-nucleotide ribosomal RNA is filed under the name uncultured Glomeromycotina. RNAcentral's name for it is "partial small subunit ribosomal RNA". It matches the Rfam family "Eukaryotic small subunit ribosomal RNA", at positions 591 to 1092 of the family's 1831-position model. The record is from RNAcentral. Lineage: Eukaryota; Fungi; Glomeromycota.